UUGGUGACUCAGUGCAACUGGUCCUGAGGCUGGUGUGUGCGUGAUUCACUGAUGGAAGACCCUGGGAAGGUAUGUGAGGAUCAGGGACCACAACCCUCACUGGUCUUGAUAGCUAGGCCGGCUCCUGCCCCUCGGAGUAGACUUUGCACCCACCCCUCUGCUUGUUCCUCAAGUUUUCAUUCUACAGCACCUCCUGCCAUGGUCAGACCUGCUUUUUAGAUGAUCUACUUUCUGUGAGCCUGGCCUAUCUAAGUCUUGACCCUUCUCCCUAGCUGGAGACAAACUGUAUCUUCUCUUGCCCACUUUGUGCCUCUGGCCCUGACCUUAAAGAUGGCUUUUCUUAAUGUCCCUCCUCCCUUUAAACUCCUAAACCUGGACUUCUAGCGCUUCAUGUGGCAGGAGAUUUGUCCCCAUUUACCUUAGGAGGUCUAGGGGUGCCUCUGGAGGAGGUACAGAUAGGGACUCUAUGCCCUGUGGACCUCUGAAUUCUCACUGCCAAGAGGUUCACCUGGUGCUGGGUAGAGGACACUCCAUGCUCAGUAGCUUGAAGGCACAGUGGGAGACUUACAGAGAACAUCUGGAAUACUUCUCCAGGGGCUCAGUUCCUUGGCUCCAGGAAGUGAUGCUACCCUAGGCCCCCCACACCCCCAACUUGUUUUUAACUAAUUAAACUUUACUGGUUUUACUUAA
This is a long non-coding RNA of Mus pahari (shrew mouse), 690 nucleotides long. RefSeq lists it as uncharacterized. NCBI's taxonomy places the organism in Eukaryota, Metazoa, Chordata, Mammalia, Rodentia, Muridae. The record is from RefSeq and is a predicted model, not a curated record. The transcript has 2 exons.